RNAcentral lists this transfer RNA (80 nucleotides) under Clostridiales bacterium. RNAcentral's name for it is "tRNA-Leu". It matches the Rfam family "tRNA". From Rfam's summary of the family: Transfer RNA (tRNA) molecules are approximately 80 nucleotides in length. Their secondary structure includes four short double-helical elements and three loops (D, anti-codon, and T loops). Further hydrogen bonds mediate the characteristic L-shaped molecular structure. tRNAs have two regions of fundamental functional importance: the anti-codon, which is responsible for specific mRNA codon recognition, and the 3' end, to which the tRNAs corresponding amino acid is attached (by aminoacyl-tRNA synthetases). tRNAs cope with the degeneracy of the genetic code in two manners: having more than one tRNA (with a specific anti-codon) for a particular amino acid; and 'wobble' base-pairing, i.e. permitting non-standard base-pairing at the 3rd anti-codon position. The record is from RNAcentral. Lineage: Bacteria; Bacillati; Bacillota; Clostridia; Eubacteriales.
GCCCUCGUGGCGGAAAUGGCAGACGCGCCAGAUUUAGGUUCUGGUGGGAGACCGUGCAGGUUCAAUUCCUGUCGAGGGCA